Molecule: ribosomal RNA, 618 nt
Filed under: uncultured Pseudomonadota bacterium
Lineage: Bacteria; Pseudomonadati; Pseudomonadota
Description: bacterial SSU rRNA
Rfam family: Bacterial small subunit ribosomal RNA
Source: RNAcentral
GUAGGGAAACUUACGCUAAUACCGCAUACGACCUACGGGUGAAAGCAGGGGAUCUUCGGACCUUGCGCGAUUGAAUGAGCCGAUGUCGGAUUAGCUAGUUGGCGGGGUAAAGGCCCACCAAGGCGACGAUCCGUAGCUGGUCUGAGAGGAUGAUCAGCCACACUGGAACUGAGACACGGUCCAGACUCCUACGGGAGGCAGCAGUGGGGAAUAUUGGACAAUGGGCGCAAGCCUGAUCCAGCCAUACCGCGUGGGUGAAGAAGGCCUUCGGGUUGUAAAGCCCUUUUGUUGGGAAAGAAAUCCAGCUGGCUAAUACCCGGUUGGGAUGACGGUACCCAAAGAAUAAGCACCGGCUAACUUCGUGCCAGCAGCCGCGGUAAUACGAAGGGUGCAAGCGUUACUCGGAAUUACUGGGCGUAAAGCGUGCGUAGGUGGUCGUUUAAGUCCGUUGUGAAAGCCCUGGGCUCAACCUGGGAACUGCAGUGGAUACUGGGCGACUAGAGUGUGGUAGAGGGUAGCGGAAUUCCUGGUGUAGCAGUGAAAUGCGUAGAGAUCAGGAGGAACAUCCAUGGCGAAGGCAGCUACCUGGACCAACACUGACACUGAGGCACGAAAGCG